UGCCAGACUCCUACGGGAGGCAGCAGUGGGGGAUAUUGCACAAUGGGGAAAACCCUGAUGCAGCGACGCCGCGUGGGCGAAGAAGUAUUUCGGUAUGUAAAGCCCUAUCAGCAGGGAAGAAGAAAUGACGGUACCUGAGUAAGAAGCACCGGCUAAAUACGUGCCAGCAGCCGCGGUAAUACGUAGGGGGCAAGCGUUAUCCGGAUUUACUGGGUGUAAAGGGGGCGCAGACGGCGAUGCAAGCCAGGAGUGAAAGCCCGGGGCCCAACCCCGGGACUGCUCUUGGAACUGCGUGGCUGGAGUGCAGGAGGGGCAGGCGGAAUUCCUGGUGUAGCGGUGAAAUGCGUAGAUAUCAGGAGGAACACCGGCGGCGAAGGCGGCCUGCUGGACCGCGACUGACGUUGAGGCUCGAAAGCGUGGGGAGCGAACAGGAUUAGAUACCCUAGUAA
Molecule: ribosomal RNA, 449 nt
Filed under: uncultured bacterium
Lineage: Bacteria
Description: bacterial SSU rRNA
Rfam family: Bacterial small subunit ribosomal RNA
Source: RNAcentral